This 586-nucleotide long non-coding RNA is filed under the name Cucumis sativus (cucumber). RNAcentral describes it as "long non-coding RNA (CSAT_LNC002835)". Lineage: Eukaryota; Viridiplantae; Streptophyta; Magnoliopsida; Cucurbitales; Cucurbitaceae. The record is from RNAcentral.
UGAUCAAGGAAGGAGCAUGAAACAAGGAUAAAUAAUAAGUAGGGAUGCUAGAAACCACUGAUGGAUUUAGUAUAGGCCCAGGUGACUCGAGUUCCCCUUUAAUUUUAUGCUAUUUAUAUAAAAUAUAUAUGUAUAAACUGAAAUAAUACUAAUAACAAUAGCUAGCCUAGUGGUAAGACUGUCAUACAACCCCCUCUAGACCCAAGUUCAAGCUCCACACUCCUUACAUUCUCUUCUAGAUUACUUUCACUGAAUUCUAAAGUUCCCCGUCAACAAAAUUUUUGGAUCUAUCAUUGUGAGAAAGAGUAGUUUGAAUGAUUGUGUGCCUAAAGCCACAACCUUUAGAGAUAAAGGUAUACAUCCAAUUAUGAAGCUUAUGUCGAAUCCUCUCAACAAUCGAAUGCCAAAAAGUAGUUGCCCUAGCCUUCCCACCCAAAGGCACGCACAAGUAGGUAGACAGGCAACAACCCAGUUUACAACCAAAUGUGUUCAAUAUCUAUUCAAAAUCAAAAUCAAUAACAUUAAUCCCAAGCAACUCACUUUUAGAGAGAUUAAUUUUCUAAGAAAUACAAACAUUGACAUACUG